CUUUAACCCUCCGGAACUGGAUCCUCUGAGUCCUGGUGAGACGAGUGUGGAAGACUACCUAUCCGAACCGAGAUCUUGGGUGUUCAGCCCUCCCCACUCAUCUCACAUGGGCGGCACGUGGGAGUGCAUGAUAGGGCAGAAUGUGGAGAGAAGGGUCUGGCUGCAGCCGGGCUGACAACGGAGCUGAUCACACUCCAGCCCAGUAGGUGGCGGUAAUGCACCAAAGAUGGUAAUCAAACCUCCAAUAAACAGCGCUGAAGUAGAAGAGCAGUAGCCUUGACAGCAUUGACCCUACCUAGAAACUGGAGGGUUCAGGCAGUGAAGCACCCAGAAGAAUGUCUGCUGAGGGCAAAAGGGCUAUCUGCCCAUUGACUUCAAUGUAAAAACCCAAGCUGAUUUAACAACCAAAGAAAACCUAAUCAGUUUUCAGUGAUAAAUGUAAUUAUGGUUAGUAGUUUAGGAAACGAC
Conger conger (European conger) is the source of this 468-nucleotide long non-coding RNA. RefSeq lists it as uncharacterized. NCBI's taxonomy places the organism in Eukaryota, Metazoa, Chordata, Actinopteri, Anguilliformes, Congridae. The transcript is spliced from 3 exons. The record is from RefSeq and is a predicted model, not a curated record.